CGGGGGGCAGCAGGCGCGAAACCUUUACAAUGCACGCAAGUGUGAUAAGGGGAUCCUGAGUGCUUAUGUUUUACAUAGGCUUUUGAUAAGACUAAAUACCUUAUCGAAUAAGUGGUGGGAAAGACUGGUGCCAGCCGCCGCGGUAACACCAGCGCCACGAGUGGCAACCGCGAUUAUUGGGCCUAAAGCGUCCGUAGCCGGUUCAGCAAAUCUUUUGUGAAAUUGUCAGGCCUAACUUGACGAAUUGCAGAAGACACUACUGAACUCGAGACCGGGAGGAGUCAGAAGUAUUCUAGGGGGACCGGUAAAAUGGUAUAAUCCCUAGAAGACUACCGAUGGCGAAGGCAUCUGACCAGAACGGAUCUGACGGUAAGGGACGAAAGCCAGGGGAGCGAACCGGAUUAGAUACCCGAGUAGUCCUGGCCGUAAACGCUGCGAGUUAGGUGUUGCAUAAGCUACGGGCUUGUGCAGUGUCGAAAGGAAGCUGUUAAACUCGCCGCCUGGGAAGUACGGUCGCAAGACGAAAC
This 527-nucleotide ribosomal RNA is filed under the name uncultured archaeon. RNAcentral's name for it is "bacterial SSU rRNA". It matches the Rfam family "Archaeal small subunit ribosomal RNA", at positions 326 to 855 of the family's 1478-position model. The record is from RNAcentral.